CAAUAGCGUAUAUUAAAGUUGUUGCGGUUAAAAAGCUCGUAGUUGGAUUUCUGCCGAGGACGACCGGUCCGCCCUCUGGGUGUGUAUCUGGUUUGGCCUGGGCAUCUUCUUGGAGAACGUAGCUGCACUUGACUGUGUGGUGCGGUGUCCAGGACUUUUACUUUGAGGAAAUUAGAGUGUUUCAAGCAGGCACACGCCUUGAAUACAUUAGCAUGGAAUAAUAAGAUAGGACCUCGGUUCUAUUUUGUUGGUUUCUAGAGCUGAGGUAAUGAUUAAUAGGGAUAGUUGGGGGCAUUCGUAUUUAACUGUCAGAGGUGAAAUUCUUGGAUUUGUUAAAGGCGGACUACUGCGAAAGCAUUUGCCAAGGAUGUUUNCAUUG
RNAcentral lists this ribosomal RNA (379 nucleotides) under uncultured eukaryote. RNAcentral describes it as "partial 18S ribosomal RNA". It matches the Rfam family "Eukaryotic small subunit ribosomal RNA", at positions 592 to 975 of the family's 1831-position model. The record is from RNAcentral.